RNAcentral lists this long non-coding RNA (659 nucleotides) under Pan troglodytes (chimpanzee). RNAcentral's name for it is "long non-coding RNA NONPTRT016553". The record is from RNAcentral. Lineage: Eukaryota; Metazoa; Chordata; Mammalia; Primates; Hominidae.
CGAGGAGAACGCGGGGACCAAACUCUUGCUGCAGGGUUUCGAGCGCCGCUUCCUGGCGGCGCGCACACUGCACUCCUUCCCCUGGCAGGUGGGCGGCGGGGCGAGCGGAGAGGCCCGCGGGGCGAGCAGAGAGGCCCGCGGGGCUCGCGGGAGUCCAGGGGCAGACGGGAUGGGUCUCCGUGCUGAAACCCCCGGCGCUCCGGCCACAGCUUAGAGGCAAAGUUAAGAGACUCAUCAGAUUCUGAGCUGCUGCGGGAUAUUUUGCAGAAGACUGUGAGGCAUCCUGUGUGUGAAGCACCCGCCGUCAGUCAAGUAUGCCCGGUGCUUUCUCUCAGAACUCAUCAAAAAGGUCAGUAAUGGGCAGUGUCCACCCAGUAGCCGGACAGCAUAGCCACCUGCGUGCUGGAGCCCCCAUCCUUCCCAGGCCCUGGGCCUGCUUUGCAAACCCCAGCAUGGCAGGGGCCUCCCCAGGCAACUGGCUGCAGCUGAGUGUGACCCAUGGGAGACAGUGCAGGGCGGGAAGAAGGGGAGGCCAGCAUCUCUCCCUCACUCUGCCUCCUGGGGUUUCCACAGCAGCUGCUUCUCUGGGGCCCCAUCUCCUAGCAUAUGGAUUCUCAUUCCUACCAGGCUGGUCCAGCCCACAGCACUGGAACCCUCAC